UACGUAGGUGGCAAGCGUUGUCCGGAAUUAUUGGGCGUAAAGCGCGCGCAGGCGGCCUCCUAAGUCCGAUGUGAAAGCCCACGGCUCAACCGUGGAGGGUCAUUGGAAACUGGGGGACUUGAGUGCAGGAGAGAAGAGUGGAAUUCCACGUGUAGCGGUGAAAUGCGUAGAGAUGUGGAGGAAGACCAGUGGCGAAGGCGGGUCUCUGGACAGUUCCUGACGCUGAGGCACGAAGGCCAGGGGAGCAAACGGG
RNAcentral lists this ribosomal RNA (253 nucleotides) under uncultured bacterium. RNAcentral's name for it is "partial 16S ribosomal RNA". It matches the Rfam family "Bacterial small subunit ribosomal RNA", at positions 524 to 776 of the family's 1533-position model. The record is from RNAcentral.